Molecule: ribosomal RNA, 207 nt
Filed under: uncultured bacterium
Lineage: Bacteria
Description: partial 16S ribosomal RNA
Rfam family: Bacterial small subunit ribosomal RNA
Source: RNAcentral
UGCGUAGGCGGGUUUCUAAGUCAGAGGUGAAAGCCUGGAGCUCAACUCCAGAACUGCCUUUGAUACUGGAAGUCUUGAGUUCGGGAGAGGUGAGUGGAACUGCGAGUGUAGAGGUGAAAUUCGUAGAUAUUCGCAAGAACACCAGUGGCGAAGGCGGCUCACUGGGCCAUUACUGACGCUGAGGCACGAAAGCGUGGGUAGCGAACA